AAAUUCCUCACAUUCUGUUUAGA
RNAcentral lists this non-coding RNA (23 nucleotides) under Cricetulus griseus (Chinese hamster). The record is from RNAcentral. Lineage: Eukaryota; Metazoa; Chordata; Mammalia; Rodentia; Cricetidae.